This is an RNA transcript of Nerophis lumbriciformis (worm pipefish), 1264 nucleotides long. It is a transcript of the gene named necdin-like 2, with no coding region annotated. Lineage: Eukaryota; Metazoa; Chordata; Actinopteri; Syngnathiformes; Syngnathidae. The record is from RefSeq and is a predicted model, not a curated record.
UUGUUUGCUUUUGUGGGUGAGAUGCGGACGUAAGGCGAGUAAAACAAUACAUUGCGACGUUGGCGUAAGAACCGCCUCUCAACAGUUAGCACCCGACGGCUAACUUCCAACUAGCAUAAAACGCUCGAGCUGCAUUUCGCCUUUAUCGACACUUCUCCAGAGCGAAGUGUGUGUCAUUUCCAGGCGGGCGUGUCGCCAUGUCGCAGAAGAAACGACCAUCCAGCUCUCAGAGGUCCUCGCAGGGCAAGAGACUCAGUGGUGCUUUGAGGGUGGAUGAAGAUGCGACAUUCACUCAGCCAAGCAUGUCCCAGGUCCAGAAAGGUCUGGAGAAGCUCUCACCUUCCCAGGUUAACCAGAAGACGGUUGAGGUGGUUCAGUAUUUCUUGGUGAAGGAUCAGAAGAAGAUUCCUAUUCGUAGAGGAGACCUGAUCAAACAUGUCAUCAAAGAGAACCGAAACAUCUAUCCUGAGAUAAUGAGGCGAGCGGCACACACCUUGGACCAGGUUUUUGGUCUGAAGCUGGUUGAAAUUGACACCAAAACUCACUUGUACAUCCUCAUCAACAAACUGGAAGCUGCUGCUGGAGGCCCGUCUCUCAGGUCCGCCAACCCAAAGACGGGUCUGCUCUUUUUGAUCUUGAGCGUCAUCUUCAUGAAAGGGGGCGUGGUCAGAGAAGGCCUAAUCUGGAACACGCUCAAGAAACUCAACAUUGACCCCGCUGACAGCCAUGAAUGCUUUGGAGACGUUAAGAAGCUGAUCACAGACGAGUUUGUGCGUCAAAGGUACUUGGAGUAUGUGCGUGUCCCUCACACCGACCCACCUGAGUACGAGCUUAGCUGGGGACAGCGUGCCGACGUGGAAGUGUCCAAGACUAAAAUCCUUGAGUUCAUGGGUCAAGCACAUGGAGUCUCAGGACGGUCGGCGUGAUUAUGGCUCAGAUUGGUUUCCGUCACGACUUCCAACGAAUUAGCACAGCAGACUAAAGCAUCAAACGGGCCACGCGAUUUAAGCGGGGCCAGGACUGCAGCUUCACCAUGGUAACUGAUGCCCCGCCUCUGGAUCGAUUACUUAAAUUAUCUGGGAGCAACUAAAUGAGGAUUUUCAUGCAGGAAGUACGCCAGCAGGCAUCUCAUCACCGCCUGGUGACAGACGACCAAGACGUUCUCCUGCCUCUCCAGCUCCAUGAUGACCGGCUCCAAGCGCUGGACCAGGUCCUCGUAAGACUGGUUAGCACGCGCGAACACAACCACAAAUAUGGUACAUCA